GAUAGACCAACCUAUUUUUCUAAGAAUAGUAUAUUUUAUAUAGUUAUUUAUUAAAUAAGAAUUUAUAAUCAUACGGUUCUAUGAUCAUUCUUAUCGUUUAAUAACAAAAUAUUUAAAUCAUCGAUAACAAAAUUUUCAAUCUGAAAUCUUUAAUAAGUUUAUAAUUUACCAAUGUUCUUGCAAAUUCAUUGAAAGUUUUAAUAUUAAAAUAUUUAUGUAAUCUUAUGGUAUAUAGUGUUUAAUAUAUAUAUAUAUAUAUAUAUUUAUUUUAUUAUUAAAUGAUAUUUUUUACUCAUAUGGUUUUAAAAUCAUGUGUAUCUUCUUAUAAUAAAAAUGUUAAAC
RNAcentral lists this long non-coding RNA (342 nucleotides) under Brassica rapa (field mustard). RNAcentral describes it as "long non-coding RNA (BRAP_LNC006972)". Lineage: Eukaryota; Viridiplantae; Streptophyta; Magnoliopsida; Brassicales; Brassicaceae. The record is from RNAcentral.